UCCCUUUCACUCUAGCUUUGCAAAUG
This 26-nucleotide non-coding RNA is filed under the name Mus musculus (house mouse). Lineage: Eukaryota; Metazoa; Chordata; Mammalia; Rodentia; Muridae. The record is from RNAcentral.